AGUCUCGUAGCUCAGUUUGGUUAGAGCACUACACUGAUAAUGUAGGGGUCGGCGGUUCAAGUCCGCCCGAGACUA
This 75-nucleotide transfer RNA is filed under the name Bacteroidales bacterium. RNAcentral describes it as "tRNA-Ile". It matches the Rfam family "tRNA". From Rfam's summary of the family: Transfer RNA (tRNA) molecules are approximately 80 nucleotides in length. Their secondary structure includes four short double-helical elements and three loops (D, anti-codon, and T loops). The record is from RNAcentral. Lineage: Bacteria; Pseudomonadati; Bacteroidota; Bacteroidia; Bacteroidales.